Molecule: ribosomal RNA, 460 nt
Filed under: uncultured bacterium
Lineage: Bacteria
Description: partial 16S ribosomal RNA
Rfam family: Bacterial small subunit ribosomal RNA
Source: RNAcentral
CCUACGGGAGGCAGCAGUGAGGAAUAUUGGUCAAUGGACGAGAGCCUGAACCAGCCAAGUAGCGUGAAGGAUGACUGCCCUAUGGGUUGUAAACUUCUUUUAUAAAGGAAUAAAACGUGACACGUGUGCCUUUUUGCAUGUACUUUAUGAAUAAGGAUCGGCUAACUCCGUGCCAGCAGCCGCGGUAAUACGGAGGAUCCGAGCGUUAUCCGGAUUUAUUGGGUGUAAAGGGAGCGUAGAUGGGUUGUUAAGUCAGUUGUGAAAGUUUGCGGCUCAACCGUAAAAUUGCAAUUGAUACUGGCAGGCUUGAGUACAGUAGAGGUAGGUGGAAUUCGUGGUGUAGCGGUGAAAUGCUUAGAUAUCACGAAGAACCCCGAUGGCGAAGGCAGCUUACUGAACUGUGACUGACGUUGAUGCUCGAAAGUGUGGGGAUCAAACAGGAUUAGAUACCCGAGUAGUC